RNAcentral lists this ribosomal RNA (433 nucleotides) under uncultured bacterium. Its description in RNAcentral is "partial 16S ribosomal RNA". It matches the Rfam family "Bacterial small subunit ribosomal RNA", at positions 29 to 507 of the family's 1533-position model. The record is from RNAcentral.
AGCGAACGCUGGCGGCAGGCCUAACACAUGCAAGUCGAACGGAUCCUUCGGGCUUUUUGGCGGACGUGUGAGUAACACCUGGUAACUUGCCCUUUGGUUCCGUACCCCUCACUGAAACUUGAGCUAAUACCGCAUGUGCUCUUCGGGGGUAAGAUUUAUCGCCAUUGGAGCGGGCCGCGUCAGAUUAGCUGGUUGGUGAUGUAACGGCCCAUCAAGGCGUCGUUCAUUAGCUGGUCUGAGAGGAUGAUCAUCCACACUGGGAUUGAGACACAGCCCAGACUGCGACGGGAGGGAGGAGUGGAGAAUAUUGCGCAAUGGGCGAAAGCCUGACGAAGCCAUGCGGCGUGAAUGAGGAAGGGCGUAGGAUAGUAAAAUUCUUUCAGAGGGGACGAGAAUGACGGUACUCGCAGAAGAAGCACCGGCUAACUUCGUG